RNAcentral lists this ribosomal RNA (485 nucleotides) under uncultured bacterium. RNAcentral's name for it is "bacterial SSU rRNA". It matches the Rfam family "Bacterial small subunit ribosomal RNA", at positions 11 to 507 of the family's 1533-position model. The record is from RNAcentral.
GUUUGAUCAUGGCUCAGGAUGAACGCUAGCGGCAGGCUUAAUACAUGCAAGUCAAGGGGGUAGCAAUACUACCGGCGCACGGGUGAGUAACACGUACAUAACAUACCAUAUACUGGGGUAUAGCUUUGGGAAACUGAAGGUAAUCCCCCAUAACAUUGCGAGAGGGCAUCUGAUUGCAAUUAAAAGUUUCGACGGUAUAUGAUUGAUGUGCGUUUGAUUAGCUUGUUGGUAGGGUAACGGCCUACCAAGGCGACGAUCAAUAGCUGGCGUGAGAGCGCGACCAGCCACACUGGAACUGAGACACGGUCCAGACUCCUACGGGAGGCAGCAGUAGGGAAUAUUGGACAAUGGGCGAAAGCCUGAUCCAGCCAUGCCGCGUGAUAGAUGAAGGCCCUCUGGGUUGUAAAUAUCUUUAUCUGGGAAGAAACAAUCUUAUUCUUAAGAUCUUGACGGUACCAGAGGAAUAAGCACCGGCUAACUCCGUG